RNAcentral lists this ribosomal RNA (492 nucleotides) under uncultured bacterium. Its description in RNAcentral is "partial 16S ribosomal RNA". It matches the Rfam family "Bacterial small subunit ribosomal RNA", at positions 29 to 507 of the family's 1533-position model. The record is from RNAcentral.
AGUGAACGCUGGCGGUAGGCCUAACACAUGCAAGUCGAACGGCAGCACAGUAAGAGCUUGCUCUUACGGGUGGCGAGUGGCGGACGGGUGAGGAAUACAUCGGAAUCUACUUUUUCGUGGGGGAUAACGUAGGGAAACUUACGCUAAUACCGCAUACGACCUACGGGUGAAAGCAGGGGAUCUUCGGACCUUGCGCGAUUGGAUGAGCCGAUGUCGGAUUAGCUAGUUGGCGGGGUAAAGGCCCACCAAGGCGACGAUCCGUAGCUGGUCUGAGAGGAUGAUCAGCCACACUGGAACUGAGACACGGUCCAGACUCCUACGGGAGGCAGCAGUGGGGAAUAUUGGACAAUGGGCGCAAGCCUGAUCCAGCCAUACCGCGUGGGUGAAGAAGGCCUUCGGGUUGUAAAGCCCUUUUGUUGGGAAAGAAAAGCAGCAGGUUAAUACCCCGCUGUUCUGACGGUACCCGAAGAAUAAGCACCGGCUAACUUCGUG